AGAGACUUGGUUGGUAGUUCUGAGAAUAAAUGAGGAUUUAAUUUAGUGAUGGACCACAGCAGUCAGCAGCUCUUUGGAUAAAUGCCAUUUCAUCAUAUCCCCCAUUCAGCCCUCCCAUAUGGCUGCUUCUUCUUCUCGCCACUCCCCUCAAUUCACCCCCAUUCAAGAGGAGCGUGAAUUGGACCCAACUCACCCUCCAACCCCUAUUGUCCACCCCAAGAAAAACAUAUCAGAUGGCUCCGUCUCUUGCAACAAGUGCAGGCCUCACUCCCGCGACAAAAUCUUCAUCCUCCCUUUUGAUCACUCCUCCUCCUCCUCUCACAAACACUCUUCCUUGCUCUCAAGCCCCAACGGGAUUUUCAGGUCCCUUGUUUCCAAGCUCUCCCGCAAGAGCCCCAUGUCUUCUUCCUCACAUGACCCUCCCACCUCCCGAGAGGAACAUUGGAAAUUGGCUGUGGCCGAACUCUCCCACAAGCUUCUCCACGCCACCAGGAAAAGAGACGAGGCCCUCCUAGAAGCUUCCAGACUCAUGCACUCCAUGUCCCAGUUAGAGAAGAAGCUCAACAAGCUCGAACUCUAUUGCCACACCUUGAAAUCUGGCCUCGAACAAUGCACCAGCUCCACUACUUCUUCUACUUCUCCUUCCCUCUUCAAUCCUCAAACCCUCCAACAUGACUCCGUUAUUCAGCACUUCUUGGUCUCGGUCUCCGAAGCAAGAUCAAGUGUAAGGCUUUUGUCUCGCUCCUUAACCAUGCAACUGAGGCACAUGGGAAACAAGGUGUACGAGAAAGUCUCCUUCCUUCUCCAACCCUACGACGUGAAAAUAUCUUUCUCAAAGAGCCCAACAAGAAGCUUGGUUUUGUACCUAGAAGCCCUCUUGAACAGAACCUUCUUCGAGGACUUUGAGACAAUAGGGUUCCAGAAGAACGCGUGCAACACGACGCUGAACCCAAUGGAGAGGUGCGAGGGGAGCUUUGAGUCGUUCAAGAUGCUUCACGGGCUGACAUGGGAGGAGGUGCUGAGCAAAGGAACGAGGCACUUCAGCGAGGAGUUCAGCAGGUUUUGGCGACAGGAAAAUGAGCGAGAUAGUGGCCAUGUUGGGCUGGAACCGGGCCUGGCCCGAGGCCCUGUUGCAGGCCUUCUUUGGGGCCUCGAAGAGCGUGUGGAUGCUGCACUUGCUGGCCAACUCGGUGCACCCGAGUUUGCCAAUAUUCAGAGUGGAGAAAGGGCUUAAGUUUGAUUCGGUUUACAUGGAGGAUAUGGGUGGGGACAAGGCUGGAUCCAAGUUGCUCCCUGAUGUGGUCAGGAUAAUGGUUGCGCCAGGUUUUUAUGUCUAUGGCAGUGCUGUCAAAUGUAAGGUCCUUUGCAGGUACUUGAGUAGCAGUAAUAAUAUUUCUAACAAGGAAGACAAAGCUUUAACCCCAACCCAUUGACUUUCUUCCUAUACAAAAAAAAACAUUCAAUCAAUGCUUUCAUUUGUAAGUUUCGAAUUUCGAUGGAUGAAUCACUUUCUCUCUAGUAUUUUUGUUUUUUAUGUUAGCCAAUAUUGUUCGUGAUAUUCUAUAUUAUUACUAUUAGGCAAUCUUGGUGCUGCUGCGUGUUAUGUUUUGGGUUGGGAUGGUGCCAUGGUGGUAGUGGUACUAUAUCUACUAUGUCGACAUUUUUGGGUCAAAGUGAACAAUUUGGCAUUUUCUGGUUUCCCUUUGUUU
Molecule: RNA transcript, 1709 nt
Organism: Glycine soja
Lineage: Eukaryota; Viridiplantae; Streptophyta; Magnoliopsida; Fabales; Fabaceae
Gene name: IRK-interacting protein-like
Exons: 2
Source: RefSeq, a predicted model, not a curated record